This 253-nucleotide ribosomal RNA is filed under the name uncultured bacterium. RNAcentral's name for it is "partial 16S ribosomal RNA". It matches the Rfam family "Bacterial small subunit ribosomal RNA", at positions 524 to 776 of the family's 1533-position model. The record is from RNAcentral.
UACGUAGGGUGCGAGCGUUAAUCGGAAUUACUGGGCGUAAAGCGUGCGCAGGCGGUUUUGUAAGUCAGAUGUGAAAUCCCCGGGCUUAACCUGGGAACUGCAUUUGGGACUGCAAGGCUUGAGUACGGCAGAGGGUGGUAGAAUUCCUGGUGUAGCAGUGAAAUGCGUAGAUAUCAGGAGGAAUACCGAUGGCGAAGGCAGGUCUCUGGGCUGACACUGACGCUCAUGCACGAAAGCGUGGGGAGCAAACAGG